This 468-nucleotide ribosomal RNA is filed under the name uncultured bacterium. RNAcentral describes it as "partial 16S ribosomal RNA". It matches the Rfam family "Bacterial small subunit ribosomal RNA", at positions 28 to 507 of the family's 1533-position model. The record is from RNAcentral.
GACGAACGCUGGCGGCGUGCUUAACACAUGCAAGUCGAACGGAAAGGCCCUGCUUUUGUGGGGUGCUCGAGUGGCGAACGGGUGAGUAACACGUGAGUAACCUGCCCUUGACUUUGGGAUAACUUCAGGAAACUGGGGCUAAUACCGGAUAGGAGCUCCUGCUGCAUGGUGGGGGUUGGAAAGUUUCGGCGGUUGGGGAUGGACUCGCGGCUUAUCAGCUUGUUUGUGUGGUAGUGGCUUACCAAGGCUUUGACGGGUAGCCGGCCUGAGAGGGUUACCGGCCCCAUUGGGACUGAGAUACGGCCCAGACUCCUACGGGAGGCAGCAGUGGGGAAUAUUGCACAAUGGGCGGAAGCCUGAUGCAGCAACGCCGCGUGCGGGAUGACGGCCUUCGGGUUGUAAACCGCUUUCGCCUGUGACGAAGCGUGAGUGACGGUAAUGGGUAAAGAAGCACCGGCUAACUACGUG